CGCGCAGCCCGGAGCAGAGCGUGAGAGGGGAGGAGCGGAGCCGGAGUUAAAGUAGCCGCGCACUGUGCGCGUGAGAGACACGGAGCAAAGCUUCCUCGCUCGGGCAUCUCCAAGGUUUCCGCCUGGGAGCGCAUCCACGGCACUGUCAACUUCGGCACGGCAUCGCGAAAGACAGACACCAGCCACCCGCGACAGGAGACACUGGCGCCGGAGAACAUGCUGGCGUACUUUGUGCCGCGCAGUUAAACAGCAAAAGGCACUGAAUGAAGAGCGCGCGCACACCCGAGCGACGGAGCAAAACAAGGACGAGCGCAGAGGCUUCGGGAACACUUCAGGAGGAGCACCUGGCUAUACUCAAAAGAUCUCAUUAGACUGUGAUGAGCGUCAUCAUCUUCCACAGACUCAAGGUACCACAGUAUCUGAAAAGAUCUGUUUUUUUUAUUUUCUCCCAUCAAUAUCCAUCAAAAAAAAAGCCAAAGAGAUGAUAUGUUAUUUCAUAAGUUGUUGUUAUCUGAUCUUAUUCAUUCCUUGUCAGAUUUUAUAGUCAUAGCUAUUAUUUUGUUAUUUUGUUUGCAGGUUGGAUUUUUUUUUUUUCUAUCUCAUUUUGCAUCACGCUGUUGUGCAUGCUAACUUCAUUUUCCUUAUUUUUCGCCUCUCCCGAUUGCUCCAGCACUAGAAAAGAAAUCAUUUGAUUUAUAUCUUACGAUGCUUAUGUGAAAUCCAGUCUGUUUUCCUGCCCCAUAGUAGGAUUUGUCUUCAUGUCUUCCUGUAAAUGCCAAACCGUCCACAAGUAUAAUUCUAUCACCAGGCACUUACACAUUUUGUACUCGCACAGCUAAAGAUCUGUAAAAGGUCAUGUUUAGAACAUCAUGAAUGUCUGAACCUUUGCUCCUGCGCCCAUUAAGCAGAAUUCAUUUAAACUGGGUCAGCCUACUGUGAUGCCUGUUCAAUGCAGCAUGCAGCUGGGAUUUUCAGUAACCAGCCAUAAUAUGCCUCAAGUGUUUGUCCAAGGGGUUGUGUUAAUGCUCAGUGUUUCAAGUAUAAAUCUUAAAAACAACAGCAACUGAGUUUUAAGCUUUCUCACAGUGUCCUGGAUUCCAGGGGCUCUCAAACAUUUUGCAGCCAGAGGCUCUUUUGCUGCAAAAAAAACCCAAAAGCAAAACAACAACCACCUUAGUACAGAUUUAUUUUAGGCACUAUGCACAUAUUCAGCAAAUUAUUCAAGUGUGGCUAGUUAUUGGCACUAUUUAUUCCUGAACUUUCCAACAACAGAUCACACCAGGUCCAAGUUGACAUUAUUUAUAGGCCUAUUUGUUUUUCAGUUAGUAAGGUUUGGAUUAGUAAACCCAUUUGAUUCAGCUGACCAGUCAAACGGACCAAUAACUAUAAAAGCUCAAUAAUAUUUGACUCUGAUAAUGCUGGAUUGUAAUUUCCACCCCUGUAACACGAUGAAAAAAUCUCCAACCCAAAACUUUGCUUCACAGACCCCCAGUUUGAUAAUCAAUGCUGUAUAACAUUACUUUGAUUUAGAAGGACAUACACACUAUAGAAUGUCUUAAGUUUGCAGACACCUGACCAUCACACCACAUAUGUGGUUCUUCACCAAACUUUUGCCACAUAGUUGGAGACACAAGUGUGUAGGAUGUCUUUGUAUGCUGUUGCAGUAAGAUUUCUCUUCACUGGAAUUAAGGGGCCCAAACCUGUUCCAACCGACAAUGCCCCUGUGCACAAAGAGAGCUCCAUAAAGGCAUAGUUUACCAAGGGUAGUGUGGAAGUACUCGACUAGCCCGAGCCCCGACUUCAACCCCACUGAACACCCUUUAGGAUGAAUUAGAACGCUGACUGCAACCCAGGCCUCUUCACUUGACAUCAGUGCCCAACCUCAUUAAUGCUCUUGUGGCUGAAUGGGCAAAUCCUCACAGCCACGCUUAAAUCUAUAGGAAAGCCUUCACAGAAGACUGGAGGGUAUUAUAACAGCAAGGUGACACUAAAUCUGUAAUGCCAUGUUCAAAAAGCACAUAUGGGUGUGAUGGUCAGGUGUCCACAAAAGUUUUAGUCAUAUAAUGUGUCAUGUACAUUCAAUUAAAGACACAGGAAUGAUAUUCAUGUAUGUCUGCUGUUCAUUAAUAAAAAGUAAAGAAUAACUAUGGGUAAUAAAUUACAAGUGGGGAAUAGUUUCGACAGCUUGGAUUUUAAAUUCUUGCAGGGUGAAAAUGUAAUGGUAAAGCUAUUUCUUUUACUCCGUAAGCAUGAGUGAUGAAUAGCAUGUGCUUACAAAACACAUUCAUAGUAAUUCACAGCUCACGCUGGCAUAUGUGCUGUCAAUGAGGCUUGACUGGUCUGUUGCUAAGACCAAUGAGGUGUUUACUAGCGAUAUACAGCAGAGCCAACAACAGAACCACAGCUGCUUUUAUCAACUCCAGUGUUCAGGAGAACUCGUAUUAUUGAGUGGGCUGUAUUCUUUGAAGUUUAUGAAGUCUGCAUUUAUUUAAAAAAAAAUUGACAGAAGUAUGCUUUUGUCUAAAACAUCUAGCUUUCUAGCUGUUCUGGGUUUUCAAGGUUCUGAACAACCACUGCCCCUUAAAACAUGGAUCAUAAAUUCUCUGCAAAUCAGAAGUGUAGACAGUUAUUUUAUUAAUAGCUCAAUGUCCUCGGUUGAAAAUUGCAUGCAUAAUGUGUAUGAUUUGCAUAGACAUCAUUAUUUCCUCUUAUUUCCUCACUCCUCUAAAACAGAACGUGGUCUGGUUUAACACUGCCAUUUCCUUAGACCGCCAUGCUUACAGCGCGCACACACAAACACACACACACACACACACAUCGUGAUUAAGACAUGUCAAGCCCCGGUGGGUGUGGGUGGUGCAGUGUCAUGUCGGCCCCCUGGGGCGUUUUGUCACAGCAGGGGUCACACCAUGCCAUCACGUCUGGCCCAUUGAGCCUAAUAUGUGUGAGUGAAUGAGCUGCACUCACAGGCCAUCAUGAUCAAGUACAGCAUAUGAGCGUGUUUAAAGGCCAUUAGGCUUAGUGUUGUGCAGUGUAGUGCCAUUUGAGAAAGUAUGAAGUGCAAAAAUAUCCAGGCGAGUAUACAGCCUCAGAAUCACAACCAAGAAAUAGGUUCUGACACAGACCUAGUCACACUGUUUUUGCAGUCUGAUGUAUGAAGAGCUAAAGUGAAAUAAUUCAAAAUGUUUGAAGAGCAUAUGUUGGUUGGUUUUUUUUUUUUUUUUUUUUUUUUUUUUUUUUUUAAUUUACCCUAUACAAUGAUUUGCCCAUAAUUUAAUUCCAAGGUUUACAUAGAUGUCCAUUGUAUUUUUUGUUUUAAACAUUUGUUAAUAGGUCCAGAUUUUCAGAUUACCUGAAAGUGAAAUCAUGGUGCAUUGUUUAAGCUAAAACACAGUUCUUGGACAGUGAUGACAGAAAUCACAGAAAACAUUGCUGCAUUAUUAACUAUGACUAUACUAGUGCUGCCAAUAUUCAUUGUGGAUUAGAAGCAGUAUGAUUUGAAUAUGAUCGGAGGAUAAUGCUACUUGGCCAUAGACUGAAUUUUAGCAUGUAAACAUAGCAAUAAAAUUAAAACUUCAGUAAAGUAAAAAGUAUAGAAAAAGCUUCAAGUCAAGACAGGACGUCUGAUGGAUAACUGGAUAGGCUGCAAAACCAUACUUGCACAGCAUUUUAAUACAUAUUUGAAUAAUCAGGUUGUUUAUGACAGAAUACUUUCAAUACUGACUUAAAUGUAGCUUGAAUGGUGGCUAUAUACAUGCAGACAGGAGGCAAAUUAUAGGAAAAAACAUAAAGGGUCAUAGAAAAAUAUUACUGUGUAUUACUGUGUACCGCACCUUAGUGAUGAACAUAAUUCUCCCAAAAGAUAUUCCCUCAGAUUGUGUUUUGAUGAUAGUGGUGGAGACCACUGUUACACCUCUCCAAAAUCUCACAUACAGGUGCAUCUAAAAAAUUUUGAAUAUUGUAGAAAUAUUAGUAUUAAUUUUGUGAGAUGCUGGAUAUUUGUUUUCCAUGAGCUGUAAGCUGUAAAGAUCAAGAUUAAAACAAAAAAAAGGAUUGAAAUAUUUCACUUUAUGUGUAAUGAAUCUAGAAUAUAUGAAAGUUCCAUUUUUUAAAUUAAAUUACGGGGGGGG
This is a long non-coding RNA of Ictalurus punctatus (channel catfish), 4130 nucleotides long. The record is from Ensembl. NCBI's taxonomy places the organism in Eukaryota, Metazoa, Chordata, Actinopteri, Siluriformes, Ictaluridae.